This 253-nucleotide ribosomal RNA is filed under the name uncultured bacterium. RNAcentral's name for it is "partial 16S ribosomal RNA". It matches the Rfam family "Bacterial small subunit ribosomal RNA", at positions 524 to 776 of the family's 1533-position model. The record is from RNAcentral.
UACGUAGGGGGCAAGCGUUGUCCGGAAUCAUUGGGCGUAAAGAGCGCGUAGGCGGCCCAGUAAGUCCGCUCUGAAAGUCAGAGGCUCAACCUCUGAAUGCGGGUGGAUACUGCUGGGCUAGAGUCCGGAAGAGGUGAGUGGAACUGCGAGUGUAGAGGUGAAAUUCGUAGAUAUUCGCAAGAACACCAGUGGCGAAGGCGGCUCACUGGGCCGAUACUGACGCUGAGGCACGAAAGCGUGGGGAGCAAACAGG